Vicia villosa (hairy vetch) is the source of this 1034-nucleotide RNA transcript. RefSeq lists it as uncharacterized. The transcript has 3 exons. The record is from RefSeq and is a predicted model, not a curated record. Lineage: Eukaryota; Viridiplantae; Streptophyta; Magnoliopsida; Fabales; Fabaceae.
ACGAGCUUUAAUAUAGUAAACCUCAAUCCAAGAUUGCAGCUGAAGAAAGACCAAGAUAUGUCGUUUUCGGACCGUCUAAGCAGUAGCCGCGGCUCUAACACAUCCUUCACCAAUCAUCCAUAAUCUUCAUUGAAACAACAUAAAUCAUGGGGUGAUGAGAUGGAAACACUGUCAUCCAAUUGCCGAUAACCAAGUCCUGUUUCAGUUCUUGAACCGUCCUUUUCAAUCGAAAGUUGUGAAUCCUCGAUGAGCAUGGAUGUUACUGGUAUCGAAGGAAGCAAGAUGUUUUCAUCUAUUCAAGCUCAGGAGAUCCAUGGCUUCAAUUUUUCAAGGAAAUUCUAUCCUACUGAAUCUGAUGCAGAGCUAUCUGAUUCAGCUUCUUCAACCUCAACCAGGACAAUGAUUAAGAAGCACGCGGAUACAUUCUCUAUGAAGUUUGGAAGAUCAUCAAGUACACGGGAGCUAGAAUAUGUGAAAGAGAUACUAUGUAAUGUUCAGUUGAUAUAUAUAGAUUUUUCCCUCGGCCGAGCACGCGAGGUUGUGAACUCUCAUUUGUUCAAUCAGUUGGAAGCCGAAGGGGAUGUUACAAGAGUGACGAUGAAUCGAGGAUAGAAAGGAAGGUUAUAUUUGAUAUUCUGAGUGAAUGUUUGGAUUUGAGGUGCAUGAGUUAUGUAGGAGGAGGAUACAGAAUAUGGACUAAAGCGUUUGAAAUGGUGAGGAGGAAAGAUUGGUUGGCAAAAGAUGUGUACAAGGAAAUUUUGGGGUUGAGAGGGAUGAGAGAUUCAAUGGUGGAGGAACUUGUGGACAAGGAUAUGAGUAGCCAAUAUGGAAAGUGGUUGGAUUAUGAGGUUGAUGCUUAUGAAUUUGGUGAAGAAGUUGUGGAUCAGAUUUUUGAUUCUUUGGAUGAUGAUGUUGUCUAUGAAAUGUUGCAAGUUUAAACACUUUGAUGGUUGAUUUUCUGGCUGUUUGGUUGAAAUUGAAAUCUUUGUUAUUGUUCUCUUAUUUCAUGGAAGUUGUAUUAUUAUCAAAAGUUU